RNAcentral lists this small nuclear RNA (183 nucleotides) under Echinops telfairi (small Madagascar hedgehog). Its description in RNAcentral is "U1 spliceosomal RNA (ENSETEG00000026627.1)". The stretch from base 1 to 140 matches the Rfam family "U1 spliceosomal RNA". Rfam says of the family: U1 is a small nuclear RNA (snRNA) component of the spliceosome (involved in pre-mRNA splicing). Its 5' end forms complementary base pairs with the 5' splice junction, thus defining the 5' donor site of an intron. Lineage: Eukaryota; Metazoa; Chordata; Mammalia; Afrosoricida; Tenrecidae. The record is from RNAcentral.
CCUCCUACCUGGCAGGGAGACAUCACAGUCAUGAAGGUGGUGAGGUUCAUCCAUUGUACCCGGAUGUGCUGAGUCCUGAGAGGUCCUGAAUAUGGGAAACACGACUGCACAAUUUGUGGUAGUGGGGGACUGUGCUUGCAUUAAAAGAGAAAACAUUAAAAGUCAGGUCAUCUUAAAUCCCUG